RNAcentral lists this non-coding RNA (46 nucleotides) under Cinara cedri. It matches the Rfam family "Histone 3' UTR stem-loop". Rfam says of the family: The mRNAs of metazoan histone genes lack a poly-A tail. 3' end processing occurs at a site between a highly conserved stem-loop (modelled by this family) and a purine rich region around 20 nts downstream (the histone downstream element, or HDE). The stem-loop is bound by a 31 kDa stem-loop binding protein (SLBP - also termed the histone hairpin binding protein, or HBP). Lineage: Eukaryota; Metazoa; Arthropoda; Insecta; Hemiptera; Aphididae. The record is from RNAcentral.
AAAACGGCCCUUUUCAGGGCCAUCAGAUAUUUAUCGAGUCGAUUCC